GUGGGGCGCCCGCACGGGGCUGCUCUCCGCCGAGCGGCUGCGCUGAAUGAGGGAACCGGAGGAGCCGCCGCCGCCAGGAGCACGACCGAUUGUGUGUCUGAUCUCUGAUGCCUCCGGUCCCCGGCACAGAGUAGAUGCGCGGGAUGGGGCCUAAAGACAGCCCUGCUUGGAGCUGCCUUCUCCAGAGCACCUGCGAUCUCCCGGCCAGACCUCCCGAUUCUGAGCACACAGCGGAACUGGCCCCGGCCCUGCACCUGGCAUCUCCCAGAGCCUUGUGCGUGCAUGCCCCCGACGUGGGACAGUCCAGUGGAACGCGGCACAGCCCCUGAGCCCUCUGGCAUCACCUCCUUGGCUCUCCCCAGUCCUCUGAGGGAGCACAGACCCCAUUCAGCACCCAGGGUGAGUGUUGGAGCCACUUCCUGGAUCAGAGGUCAGCCUCUACCCCACACAGAGGAGCCAGGCCUGGCCAGUGGCCUUCUGCCUAUUCUGACACCCCAUGUUUGCCAGAAGAAGAUAACCAAAAUACCAUGAGACAUGCUGUGGACCCUCACCCUGGCAUUUAUGAUGCAACCACCAUCUGGCCCCUCCCUGCCCGUCCUGCCUUGUCCCCCAGUCCUCCCACACAAGAAGGUGCCAUGGCAGCCUGACCAGGUCCACCCAGGGCCCCCAACAUGCCCGCCCCUGUGCCCACUUUAGGGUCCCUGCUGCCCUGGCUCCUGUUCUCCCCAUCACUGUCUGAGCGUCCUGGUCCUCAGGGCUCACCCCCCACACGGAGCCUGCCCUGACCACAGGACAUCCCCUGCUGCCCUCAUCCCCUUUCAGCAGCUCCUUCGCUGACUUCCAGGAGCCCUCUCCCCAGGUGUUCCACGCUCUGACCCCUUCAUCUCACUCUUUUUCAAGGGCUCCCUUUCCUUUCACCCCUCCCCUCCCAGAUGUGAAUGUUUCCCAGCUCUGCCUUCACCCUUGGCUCUCCCCACCCUCUUGGGUGUCCUCUUGGGUGACAUCAUCCACUCCUGUGGACUACAAGACCCCCAAAUC
Long non-coding RNA from Balaenoptera acutorostrata (minke whale), 1038 nucleotides. RefSeq lists it as uncharacterized. Lineage: Eukaryota; Metazoa; Chordata; Mammalia; Artiodactyla; Balaenopteridae. The transcript is spliced from 3 exons. The record is from RefSeq and is a predicted model, not a curated record.